This 261-nucleotide ribosomal RNA is filed under the name uncultured bacterium. Its description in RNAcentral is "partial 16S ribosomal RNA". It matches the Rfam family "Bacterial small subunit ribosomal RNA", at positions 793 to 1055 of the family's 1533-position model. The record is from RNAcentral.
GUCCACGCCGUAAACGUUGGGCACUAGGUGUGGGGCUCUAUCGACGGGUUCCGUGCCGAAGCUAACGCAUUAAGUGCCCCGCCUGGGGAGUACGGCCGCAAGGCUAAAACUCAAAGGAAUUGACGGGGCCCGCACAAGCGGCGGAGCAUGUGGCUUAAUUCGAUGCAACGCGAAGAACCUUACCAAGGCUUGACAUUCUGGGUAAUCCGUGGAAACACGGUGAUCCUUCGGGAUCCAGAACAGGUGGUGCAUGGCUGUCGU